AUUGAAUACUAUAAAAUUACAAAAAUUUUCAUAGGCAGCAGGUAUGUGAUGCUAACAGUGGGCUAACAAUGUUUAAAGAAAAUUAAAGAAAAGAAGAUCAGGAAGAAAAACAACUACAGCUGUGUAAGGCUACAAGAAGGCAAAAGUCUGCAAGCUAGGAAGAGGGCUGUCGCCAGAACCCAACCCACACUAACAGACUCCCGAGCCUCCAGAACUGUGAGAGAUAAAUGUCUGUUAUUUAAACCA
Suricata suricatta (meerkat) is the source of this 246-nucleotide long non-coding RNA. RefSeq lists it as uncharacterized. The record is from RefSeq and is a predicted model, not a curated record. NCBI's taxonomy places the organism in Eukaryota, Metazoa, Chordata, Mammalia, Carnivora, Herpestidae. The transcript is spliced from 2 exons.